AUGGCCAAGGCCGCAUGCGUGGGCGCCGCCGGCGAACUCCUGGACGACCUCCUCCUCGUCGUCUUCGAGCACUUGCCGGGCGUCCAGGACCUCCUCCGCUGCGCAGCCACGUGCAAACAGUGGCUCUGCCUCAUCAAAGACCCGGUCUUCCUCCGACGCAUCGGCCUCUGGCCGGAGACAGCGCCGCACCCCUCGGUCCUCGUCGGCAUCUUCUACCAGAACGUAGCGGCUAGCGCGAUUCAGCCCGUGAGAAGGAUACCCGACAGUCCUCCCCAAUUCUUGAGCCUUCAGGCUGGCGGCGGCCAUCUCACCUUCGACUCCUUCGUCGCCAACGACGACGGGCUCUUCAACUUUGCAAGGCCACUGGCGUCACGCCGUGGUCUUCUCCUCGUGCGCAUCCUGCUGCCUACCCCGGCCGACCACCAACGCCGUGAGAAGCUCCAUCUUGCGGUGUGCCGCCCUCUGAUCGACAAGCGGGGUAGGCAUUUGCUCCCACCGCCUCCCUUCUUGGUAAACCAUGGAUUCAUCAACGGGCUCCGCCUAACUGGCUAUGCUCUUCUCACCGAUGAGGACCACCGUGCCAUUGAUGAUCUGGAUCAGCAACGACGGUCGUCGUUCCAAGUCGUCUUGACUUACACAGGCGCCAACAGAGUCAUGUAUGCCUGUGGGUACUCCUCUGCCACAGACAGUUGGAGCACGCCCAUCAAGUGCCACCAGGUUUCACACCUCUCCAGGUGUGGACCGUAUGCCGGCGUCGUCACCUGUGGCACCGUGCACUGGCUGUUCACAGACCAGAGAAGCUUCUACACACUCAAUGUAAGUGUCGCCACCGCACAUGUCUCAUUGACCAAGAUCCCCAUCAACGUCCAUGCUGGUGAGCAGCGGCGGCGAGUGCCGUUUCCAUGUGUCACCGGAGAAAGAAAGCUCUCUUUUGUGAGCAUACGAGAUGAUGGUGUGCUAGAGCUUUGGGCCAAGCAAGGGCAAGAUGACAAUGAUCAUGGCGGCGAGGCUGCUGCAGGAGGGUGGUUGCGCUCUGACCUGAUAAAUCUAGGAAGCGGUGAUAAAAUAAACCUUGUCUUCUUCGCGGAGAGGAGAGGUGCCAUGCUCGUCGAGCAGGGUGGUGCUUUCUUCACCAUUGAUCUCAAGAGCAAGGAAAAGGCGUUGGUCGAUCUCAAAGGCGAGGAAAUGGAGCAUGUCAGGGGCAUCUGCAGGUUUCCAAUGCAUCGCUGUAGUAGUAGUUGGUGUAGUGGAUUCCACUGCAGCUGGGGGAGGAUCAGUCCUUGCGCGUAUAACAAGCCUGUGCUGUACGAGGUGGAUUGGAUAAUUGAGGCAAGAUGA
RNAcentral lists this ribosomal RNA (1338 nucleotides) under Triticum aestivum (bread wheat). Its description in RNAcentral is "partial small subunit ribosomal RNA". Lineage: Eukaryota; Viridiplantae; Streptophyta; Magnoliopsida; Poales; Poaceae. The record is from RNAcentral.